CUUGCAAGGGCGCCGCAGAAAGACAAGAAGCCCAAGAAGUCAACCUGGAAGUUUAAUUUGGACCUUACUCAUCCAGUAGAAGAUGGAAUUUUUGAUUCUGGAAAUUUUGAACAAUUUCUAUGGGAGAAGGUUAAAGUCAAUGACAAAACUGGAUAUCUCGGGAAUGUUGUUCACACUGAAUGCUUCAGGAAUAAAAUCACAUUCUUUCUCAGAAACAGUUCUCUAAAAGGUAUUUGAAAUACCUUACCAAGAAAUACCUUAAGAAGAGCAAUCUUCAUGAUUGGCUUCGAGUGGUUGCAUCUGACAGAAGACUUACGAACUUCAUUACUUCCAGAUUAGUCAAGAAGAUGAAUCAGAGUUGGAGGACUAGGCAAAGGCUUCCCUUGUAGGACUUUGCUUAUUAACAAAAUAAAUGAAGUAUAUGUGAGAAAUACCAAGAAAUUGGCUUUUAGUUUAUCACUGAAUAAGAAAAAAAUUGCACUCUUUAAAAAAAA
RNA transcript from Mandrillus leucophaeus (drill), 494 nucleotides. It is a transcript of the gene named 60S ribosomal protein L22-like 1, with no coding region annotated. The record is from RefSeq and is a predicted model, not a curated record. The transcript has a single exon. NCBI's taxonomy places the organism in Eukaryota, Metazoa, Chordata, Mammalia, Primates, Cercopithecidae.